UGGGCUCGUUGAGCUUCUUAGCUCUGUGA
RNAcentral lists this non-coding RNA (29 nucleotides) under Mus musculus (house mouse). The record is from RNAcentral. Lineage: Eukaryota; Metazoa; Chordata; Mammalia; Rodentia; Muridae.